UACGAAGGGGGCUAGCGUUGCUCGGAAUCACUGGGCGUAAAGGGUGCGUAGGCGGGUCUUUUAGUCAGACGUGAAAUCCCCAGGCUCAACCUGGGAACUGCGUCUGAUACUGGUUGGCUUGAAUUCGGGAGAGGGAUGCAGAAUUCCAGGUGUAGCGGUGAAAUUCGUAGAUAUCGGGAGGAACACCGGUGGCGAAGGCGGCGACCUGGGUAGAUACUGACGCUGAGGCGCGAAAGCGUGGGGAGCAAACAGG
RNAcentral lists this ribosomal RNA (253 nucleotides) under uncultured bacterium. RNAcentral describes it as "partial 16S ribosomal RNA". It matches the Rfam family "Bacterial small subunit ribosomal RNA", at positions 524 to 776 of the family's 1533-position model. The record is from RNAcentral.